RNAcentral lists this ribosomal RNA (253 nucleotides) under uncultured bacterium. RNAcentral's name for it is "partial 16S ribosomal RNA". It matches the Rfam family "Bacterial small subunit ribosomal RNA", at positions 524 to 776 of the family's 1533-position model. The record is from RNAcentral.
UACGAAGGGGGCUAGCGUUGUUCGGAAUUACUGGGCAUAAAGCGCGCGCAGGCGGCCUUUCAAGUCAGGGGUGAAAGCCCGGAGCUCAACUCCGGAAUUGCCUUUGAAACUGUCAGGCUCGAGUACGGGAGAGGUGAGUGGAAUUCCCAGUGUAGAGGUGAAAUUCGUAGAUAUUGGGAAGAACACCGGUGGCGAAGGCGGCUCACUGGCCCGUUUCUGACGCUCAGGCGCGACAGCGUGGGGAUCAAACAGG